AGUAGAAUAGCUUAGCGGUCUAGAGCGGCCAGCUUAUAAACUGGCAGGUCAUUGGUUCGAAUCCAAUUUCUACGU
Molecule: transfer RNA, 75 nt
Filed under: Candidatus Saccharimonadota bacterium
Lineage: Bacteria; Candidatus Saccharimonadota
Description: tRNA-Ile
Rfam family: tRNA
About the family: Transfer RNA (tRNA) molecules are approximately 80 nucleotides in length. Their secondary structure includes four short double-helical elements and three loops (D, anti-codon, and T loops).
Source: RNAcentral